UAGGGAAUCUUCGGCAAUGGGGGCAACCCUGACCGAGCAACGCCGCGUGAGUGAAGAAGGUUUUCGGAUCGUAAAGCUCUGUUGUAAGUCAAGAACGAGUGUGAGAGUGGAAAGUUCACACUGUGACGGUAGCUUACCAGAAAGGGACGGCUAACUACGUGCCAGCAGCCGCGGUAAUACGUAGGUCCCGAGCGUUGUCCGGAUUUAUUGGGCGUAAAGCGAGCGCAGGCGGUUUGAUAAGUCUGAAGUUAAAGGCUGUGGCUCAACCAUAGUUCGCUUUGGAAACUGUCAAACUUGAGUGCAGAAGGGGAGAGUGGAAUUCCAUGUGUAGCGGCGAAAUGCGUAGAUAUAUGGAGGAACACCGGUGGCGAAAGCGGCUCUCUGGUCUGUAACUGACGCUGAGGCUCGAAAGCGUGGGGAGCGAACAGGAUUAGAUACCCUGGUAGUCCACGCCGUNNCGAUGAGUGCUAGGUGUUGGAUCCUUUCCGGGAUUCAGUGCCGCAGCUAACGCAUUAAGCACUCCGCCUGGGGAGUACGACCGCAAGGNU
Molecule: ribosomal RNA, 548 nt
Filed under: uncultured bacterium
Lineage: Bacteria
Description: bacterial SSU rRNA
Rfam family: Bacterial small subunit ribosomal RNA
Source: RNAcentral